RNAcentral lists this ribosomal RNA (402 nucleotides) under uncultured bacterium. RNAcentral describes it as "bacterial SSU rRNA". It matches the Rfam family "Bacterial small subunit ribosomal RNA", at positions 355 to 774 of the family's 1533-position model. The record is from RNAcentral.
UCGGGAAUUUUGGGCAAUGGGCGAAAGCCUGACCCAGCAACGCCGCGUGAGGGAUGAAGUAUUUCGGUAUGUAAACCUCGAAAGAAUGGGAAGAAUAAAUGACGGUACCAUUUAUAAGCUCCGGCUAACUACGUGCCAGCAGCCGCGGUAAUACGUAGGGAGCAAGCGUUGUUCGGAUUUACUGGGCGUAAAGGGCGCGUAGGCGGCGCGGUAAGUCACUUGUGAAAUCUCUGAGCUUAACUCAGAACGGCCAAGUGAUACUGCUGUGCUAGAGUGCGGAAGAGGCAACCGGAAUUCUUGGUGUAGCGGUGAAAUGCGUAGAUAUCAAGAGGAGCACCUGAGGCGAAGGCGGGUUGCUGGGCCGACACUGACGCUGAUGCGCGAAAGCCAGGGGAGCAAACG